UCUACGUUGGUGAACCAGCGGAGGGAUCAUUACAGGAUCGAAAGACUCCUAUAACCCCUGUGAACUUACUACAAAUACGUUGCUUCGGCGGGUGCCCCGGGUCUCCCGGGGCGUUCAGCCCGCCGGCAGCCUUCAAAUUCUGUUUCUUUGCGUUGGCAUCUCGAGUAUACAAAAAUAAGUUAAAACUUUCAACAACGGAUCUCUUGGUUCUGGCAUCGACGAAGAACGCAGC
RNAcentral lists this unclassified non-coding RNA (232 nucleotides) under plant metagenome. RNAcentral describes it as "partial contains small subunit ribosomal RNA, internal transcribed spacer 1, and 5.8S ribosomal RNA". The stretch from base 184 to 232 matches the Rfam family "5.8S ribosomal RNA", at positions 1 to 49 of the family's 154-position model. The record is from RNAcentral.